CGGGGUGUGGCGCAGUCCGGUAGCGCGCAUGCUUUGGGAGCAUGAUGUCGGAGGUUCAAAUCCUCUCACCCCGA
This 74-nucleotide transfer RNA is filed under the name Candidatus Zixiibacteriota bacterium. RNAcentral describes it as "candidate division Zixibacteria bacterium tRNA-Pro". It matches the Rfam family "tRNA". Rfam says of the family: Transfer RNA (tRNA) molecules are approximately 80 nucleotides in length. The record is from RNAcentral. RNAcentral also lists the same sequence under 1 other name. Lineage: Bacteria; Pseudomonadati; Candidatus Zixiibacteriota.